This 381-nucleotide ribosomal RNA is filed under the name uncultured eukaryote. RNAcentral's name for it is "partial 18S ribosomal RNA". It matches the Rfam family "Eukaryotic small subunit ribosomal RNA", at positions 592 to 976 of the family's 1831-position model. The record is from RNAcentral.
CAAUAGCGUAUAUUAAAGUUGUUGCAGUUAAAAAGCUCGUAGUUGGAUCUGUGGUGUGCGGUGGGCUCCGGGCACUUGUUGUCUGAGUAGCUCGCCGCUGCCAUCCUUGGGUGGAACCUGUGUGGCAUUAGGUUGUCGUGCAGGGGAUGCCCAUCGUUUACUGUGAAAAAAUUAGAGUGUUCAAAGCAGGCUUAUGCCGUUGAAUAUAUUAGCAUGGAAUAAUGAGAUAGGACUUUUUCGCUAUUUUGUUGGUUUGCGCGAAGAGGUAAUGAUUAAUAGGGACAGUUGGGGGUAUUCGUAUUCCAUUGUCAGAGGUGAAAUUCUUGGAUUUUUUGGAAGACGAACCACUGCGAAAGCAUUUACCAAGGAUGUUUUCAUUAA